RNAcentral lists this ribosomal RNA (749 nucleotides) under Halogeometricum sp. BAB-3001. Its description in RNAcentral is "bacterial SSU rRNA". It matches the Rfam family "Archaeal small subunit ribosomal RNA", at positions 15 to 765 of the family's 1478-position model. The record is from RNAcentral. Lineage: Archaea; Methanobacteriati; Methanobacteriota; Halobacteria; Halobacteriales; Haloferacaceae.
UGCCGGAGGCCAUUGCUAUCGGAGUCCGAUUUAGCCAUGCUAGUUGCACGAGUUCACACUCGUAGCAUAUAGCUCAGUAACACGUGGUCAAGCUACCCUGCAGACACGGACAACCUCGGGAAACUGAGGCUAAUCCGCGAUACCGAUCCCACGCUGGAAUGCCGGGAUCCACAAACGCUCCGGCGCUGCAGGAUGCGGCUGCGGCCGAUUAGGUAGACGGUGGGGUAACGGCCCACCGUGCCGAUAAUCGGUACGGGUUGUGAGAGCAAGAGCCCGGAGACGGAAUCUGAGACAAGAUUCCGGGCCCUACGGGGCGCAGCAGGCGCGAAACCUUUACACUGCACGCAAGUGCGAUAAGGGGACUCCGAGUGCGAGGGCAUAUAGUCCUCGCUUUUGAGAACCGUAAGGCGGUUCUCGAAUAAGAGCUGGGCAAGACCGAAACCAACCGCCGCGGUAAUACCGGCAGCUCAAGUGAUGGCCAAUCUUAUUGGGCCUAAAGCGUCCGUAGCUGGCCACGAAAGUCCGUCGGGAAAUCCAUCUGCCCAACAGAUGGGCGUCCGGCGGAAACUUCGUGGCUUGGGACCGGAAGGCUCGAGGGGUACGUCCGGGGUAGGAGUGAAAUCCCGUAAUCCUGGACGGACCGCCGAUGGCGAAAGCACCUCGAGAAGACGGAUCCGACAGUGAGGGACGAAAGCUAGGGUCUCGAACCGGAUUAGAUACCCGGGUAGUCCUAGCCGUAAACAAUGUUC